This is a long non-coding RNA of Vicugna pacos (alpaca), 533 nucleotides long. RefSeq lists it as uncharacterized. NCBI's taxonomy places the organism in Eukaryota, Metazoa, Chordata, Mammalia, Artiodactyla, Camelidae. The record is from RefSeq and is a predicted model, not a curated record.
AGCAGUUCAGACAGCUCGUCCUCUGUCCCGCGCCGCCUGGAGUCACGCCUCAGAACCGAGGCUGCGGUUCGCCAUGGCUCCCGCACAGGGUGCAGGGGGCGAGGACGAGAGCGCCGGAGGGGCCUGGAGCCGGCUUGCCCCCUCCCCGCCGAGACAGCCGCGCCCUGCGAGGCUGCACACCGCCCUGGUGUCAUCUUGUCGCCUCCAGGCCCUUGACCAGCACUUGCCAGGGCCUCAAGUGGUGGCUGGAUCAGCCGGCGUCAGUGGAGGCUUCCUGUGGUUUUCCUGCUUUUAAACGUCUUUGUCAUCACUCUGCACUCCGCCCACUGAAACCCUUGAGGCAUGGAAGAACAUUCCAGCAGGAAAUCCGGAGUCAACCUCGUCUGAGAAGAUGUGACUCCUGCUGAUUUCAAAGCCGAGGUUGGGCACCGAGGAAGAGAUUUACCAUUUAUCAUCGGAGGACAAAAAUAUGACCUUCCUUCCUUUCUUCCUUCCUCACUUUUCUAGAAAUAAAAGGAGGAUUCAGAAAGCAA